UAUUAAAACUUUCAUCAAUUUCUACUUAAAAAUUAGUAUUGUUGACGGAAUAACUAGACGGUUACAUGUGAUGUGCCAUGUAUAUUUUAUGCUAACAUAUAGGAACAAAUUUUUAACAACAAAAAUAGAUGAAAUUUUUAACU
MicroRNA precursor from Gossypium arboreum, 143 nucleotides. It matches the Rfam family "MIR7502 microRNA precursor family". NCBI's taxonomy places the organism in Eukaryota, Viridiplantae, Streptophyta, Magnoliopsida, Malvales, Malvaceae. The record is from Rfam.